Molecule: long non-coding RNA, 9433 nt
Organism: Oncorhynchus kisutch (coho salmon)
Lineage: Eukaryota; Metazoa; Chordata; Actinopteri; Salmoniformes; Salmonidae
Source: Ensembl
AUGAGAAACCUCCAGACUGAGCUGACAGUCCAAUACUUUAGAGAGAAGCACCUCUCCCUUUGGCCUCUUUUUACCUUAGAGAAUGCCAUCAUGUAUGAAGAUCUCUCUCUAACUGAGAGGUUCUGUAUCCUUAAGGCCGUGACAGAGGUAACACUGGCAGGCAACCCGGAUGCCGUCAAUGGGGAUGUCCACCAACUUGAGUGUGCCAAGAGGUAUAACUUCCACCUUAGUCUUCUUGAGCAUCUGAAUGGUUCAAAUUCCACUCUGGCAGGUAAACUUCUUUUGGCUUUUUUUGACACAUUUUCAGAUGUGUCUCAGACCAGCAGGGAGCUCCUUAGUCAAAUUCUCUUCAGUAACAUCUGGACACCUGUAGAAAUCCUGCUCUUUCUUCGUGGGGUUGGUUCCAUGGACCAGAAGAAAACAGAUGCAAUCCUUCAUACAGUGCAGACCUACAGGCUGGAUCUUCUCUCCACACUCUCUGCCCUUAGAAGUAAUGAUCCCAAUAAGACUCUGCAAGGUUAUGCAGAAGAAGAAACUGACAAAGAUAUUGACACCAUUUUGAGUGAGAUGCGGGAUGCAAAUUACCCCGAAAAGUUACUCUCUAUAAUGGAGACUGUCUUAGGACAUAUAGAAGAGAAGCUUUCAAAAGAUCCCAUGGUAGACACACAGAAGAAACUGAGCAAGAGAGAAAAAAUGGAAAUGAUCAAAGACUUCAAGAACAAAAUUAAAUUGUUGAAUUUUGCUGAGGCAGACAACACUAUCCUCAAGGAAGUUCUUAUUACAAUGUGUAUUGCUGUUAAAGACUGCACAGCCGUUUCCACUCAAAGUGGAGAGCAAAUCAAGGGAUAUUUUCCCAGACUCACCCAGCUGGCAUCAUUAGUCAUGCUCCUUCUACCAAAGGCAACAUCAGAUAAAGGAUGCCUCUUAGAAAUUGGCACAGGAGAAGGAAAGUCUUGCAUUCUAGCUAUGUUUGCAGCAAUCCAGGCCAUCAGAGGGGCCACAGUCGACAUUGUGACCAGUUCUCCAAUCCUUGCACGACGGGACGAAGAGGAGUGGAGAAAACUUUUUGACAUGUUUGAUAUCACAUCCUCCGUUGUGCCUCCACCGUUGAUGAAGGAGAGCAGCCUUAAAAGCUGUGACAAAAUACUACAGGACGCUUACAAAAGACAGAUUGUGUAUGGAACUGUAAGUGACUUUGCAGCAGACACUUUGAGGCAGGAAUUUGAGAAAAACACCACUCGUGGGGAGAGGAAGUUUGACUUAGUGAUUGUGGAUGAAGUAGAUUACAUGACCUUGGACAGUGGAGUGCAGGUGACCUUCCUGUCUCAUGAAGCCAGCGGCCUUAGGCACGUUGAGCAAGUCCUUGCUAGCAUUUGGUGCAUGAUAUCCGUGUGUCGGCCUAUUCGAAUGGAAGAAACGGGGGAGACUGAGUGGAUAACUGGGAUACAGCAUUUUCACAAGGCUGCAAAGAUGGCUGUUAUGGGCUCAGACAGAUCUGAACACUUUUCUGAAUUUAAUAUUCUGCAAACAGGGUUGCAGUUUGGAUUUUACACACAGGAAGACAUUGAUACAUUGAUGCAGAGUGAAAGUGAGGCACAAAGAGAUGGUAAAGCUGAUGAUUUUCAAGAUGAGAAUUGGAAAGCUAUUGAGGUGUUCAUGACUAAAAUUGGAGUGGAACAACAAUAUGAUCUGCUCAGUAUUCUUGAGACGGCAUUAGAUCAAACUGUUUUCAUCGACUGUUACACAUUAACAAAUAAUAAAGCCACAUCAAUUGGAGAGAAAAAAAGGGACAGUGACAUGAAAAUCAAAAUGCUUCUCCUCAACAAUGGACGAGCUAGUGAAAUAAUGUCUGAAAAAUCACUAAUUGAUGCAGUUGUUCUUGAGAUACAAUCUAAAAUCAUAUAUUCUGACCAAUGUCAGCCAAACUCAGAGGAAACCGAUAACUAUAUUGUGAUCCCCUUCUUCCUUAAGAAGUACAUUGAGAAUCGGAUGCCAGUCUUUGUGGGAAAUGCCUUAAAAGCUAUUGCAAUGAAACAAGGCAGAGAGUACAUGAUUGGCAUGUCUUCUGACGCUAAUCCAAGCACUGUCAGUGAGUCUGACAAACAUUUCUACCAUGCCAUCAUCCCAGUGGACUACCAGGCCAGUGGAGUACUGGAAAAGAACAAACGCUGGGGUGACGGCCUUCAACAGUUUCUAGAGAUGAAGCACCAGUUGGCCAUAUCAUCGCUAUCCAAUGUUACAAAUUAUAUGUCAAAUAUCCAUUACUUUAAAAGAUACCUUAAAGGGAGUGGCAUAUUUGGUGUUUCUGGAACAUUAGGUGGAAAUGCAGACAAACACUUCUUGAAAAGCCAUUACAAAUCAGACAGCUAUACGAUACCUUCUCACAGGCACAAUAAGGUAGUUGAACUCCCCGCUCUUCAGGUAAGCGGUGAUGACUUAAAAUGGAUAGAGGUAGUCUGUGAAAGUGCAUUGAAAGCUGCCGACAGGAACCAGGUCGUCUUGGUGGUUUGUGAGGAUGUUAAGACAGCAAAUGAAUUACAGGUGGCAAUGGCCAACCGAAGAGCAAAUCAACGACAUCCAAUCACCAUGUACACAAUCAGUGAGAGAGACAACAUUGAGCAAACCACAUUCAGUGGGGGAAGCAUCAUUAUCGCCACCAAUCUGGGAGGACGUGGCACAGACAUUAGAUUGGAGCAGAAAGUGAAUCAAUGCGGCGGACUCUUUGUCCUUCUCACGCACUUUCCUGACAAUCGCAGAGUGGAGAAACAGGUGUUUGGACGCACAGCCAGAAAAGGAAAUUCCGGCAUGGUACAAAUGAUACUCCAUUGUGACCAACUGGCACCAGCGUACCAGGGCCAGCCUGUGGAGAUCAUGAGGCAGCUAAGAGAGGAUCAUGAAAUCCAACGCAUCACUGGUAUGGAGACAAAUGAGCUGCAGGAAAUUGAAAGGAAGGAAAAAUUAUUUUCAACAGUUUGCCAAUUUCUUGACAAUUUUGACAGCAACUACUCAGAAAAAGAGAGAGAGAACCUGUUGACAAUAAAGGUGGAGGAACAUAGUUUCAGACGUCAAGGCGAUAAGCUUGAUUACCAGCCAGCACUCAAUGCUCUGAAAGAAUCCUGGGCAUUGUGGUUGACCCUUCAUGAGACCCAUAUCGAGAAGGAUGAUGAUAUCUCUGACUUGGAAGCAGACUUACUUCAACAAUUGACAAACACAAGGAACAUGAUGUUGAAAGGACAAAGCCGAAAUUUCUAUGACCAUCUGAAGCAGGCUGUUGUUAGAACCAACCUGCACUGCCGUGAUAAAACCAAGUGGGACUAUGAUGCAAAAUCUUCCUGGCAGAAAGCUGCAAAAUGUGACCCCUUUUACAGAGCAGUGGCGCUAUACAACCAAGCUUACAUCACAAUUAACCUGGCAGAGAGUGACCAUAAAACAGAGGCUAGUAAAUUACUGCAGGAAGCAAAAGACACACUAGGUAUCUAUAUCUCUGAAACAACAAACACUUUGAAUGCAUGUCAGAUGGCAAUGAGGGGCAACUUUGAGCCACAUCAUGAUGGUGUCUGCAAUUUCCAAAGUCAGAUGCAAUCUAGGAUGAAUAUUUUCCAAGCAUGGCUGGGAUACAUUAACAGUACACUGAAAAAACUUGCAGAGCUAAAGAACAGUAAAAGUAGCGCCAUAACAGAGGAUUCCUCAGUGUAUGCACUCUCAGACGGGACAGACUAUGUCACCACAAAUGAACUCAUGGGCCUGUAUGAGUACGGCCUUGGCAUGGUGUUCGAAGUAAAAGAGAAGCCAAGGUUCAACAUUGAUGCUCUUGUGUGUUUUUUACUGGGUGCAUGUCAGGUUCUGGCUGGAGUUCUUGUUUGUGCUCUGUCCUAUGGCUCCGCCUCCCAGUUUGGUCUUGCCUUGAUCUCAGAGGGAGUGUCUGACAUGAUCAGUGGGUGUGAUGGCAUGAUAACUGGCAGUUUCAGUUGGGCAUCGUGGGCCAUCUCCAAAAGCAUCGGUAUUGGGAUAUCUUUGCUCACUUCUGGAUUUGGCACCAUCAAGAGAGCUGUCCAGUCUGUAUAUAAAGCCACAAAAGGCUUGCUAACAGGUACAAAAACCCUGUCAUCUGUUGCAAAAGGUGUCAUUAAAUCAGGGAAACAUGCAUUCAUGUCUUUCAAAGGCAGUGUCACAGCGGUCUCCUCUCUGUCCCUAGGUACAGUGAAGAAGCUGGGCACGAAAACUGUAGUCAAACAGACUUUCAAACAUGCAACCAAGUAUGCAGGACAGGAAAUGGCUAAGCAGAUAGUUACCCACACAUUGCAUUACUUCAUUGAUGCAGGGCUUCAAGCUGUACUGAAGGAGAUUUUGAACAAGGCUUUCAAGGAUUCAAUCACCUCUGUAGUUAAAGAGAAUGAUGCAUUGAGUCACACUCUCACAGAGCUUGUAUGUGCUGGAGUUCCAAAAUCAGCUUUACAGAAACAAGCUGCUGAGUUCAAGAUAGACAGGGAGUGUGAAAAAAGUAUUAAAGAUUUAGUAAAAUCAGUGACAGAAAAAAUUAUUUCUGAUCUUAUGAUAGAUUGCAGCACAGUGCAUGAGAUCAUUGACAGAGUCUCUCAGGUGUGUAGCAAAGCGUCAGACCUUAUGGACAACGCAGGAGUGCCUGGAAAAGUCCAAACUGCUAUCUCUGCAAGCCUCUGCAUAGCAGAGUUCAGUACAGUGCUAGUCCAAAUGUUGAACUCUAUCCCUACAGAAAAAUGUAUCAAUGACAGAUUCUCUUCCAAGUUGAUAAAAGAAAUUCAUGCGCAACUGCCAAAUGGGUAUGACCAGGAUGGCAGACACAGACUCCUUGAUGUGGGACGCCUGAAGAAUGAGCUCCUCGAGGGCAUCUCAGAGAAUGUCUCCCAGGAAUUUAUUGAGUCCUGUGCCAGACACAUGAACUCCUUGAUAACACAUAUUUUUAAGGAAAAGAUCAAUAAAGUCACGAACGCCAUUGGCAAUACCACUAGCAACAUGCUUGGCAGGUACAAAACGGAAAACUAUUUCGUAGAGCAGAAGCAGAGGCAUGACAUGAAAUCAGCCAGUAAGCAUGCAGGGGAGUCUACAUGUGAGAUUGAACAGUCGGACCUCCAUCAUUACAUCAAUAACAUCAGUGAUAUUGACCGCCCUGCUUCAGAGCUGGACAUCUAUGUCCUUACAAAGAGUGACCUACUCCAGGGCCAAGGCAUCAGGGUCAAGGUAGUGGAUAAACAUGGGAAACCACUCGAUGAGCAAUCCUACCCAGGCACUGACUGCUCAGCAGGAUACAUCACACUCAAACUGACCAUGGAGCCAGAGACAGCUAAAAGUGAGAUGGGUCUGUUAUCUCACAUACAAGACCGAAUCCAAGGUGUUCAAACUGCGUACAGCGGCCAUUUUACCAUUGUUCAACCAGAUGGAUGUGAGACCAGGGUGAUGUCAGAGGGCCAGAAUUGCAUGUACCAUGCCUUAAUCCAGGCAACAUCCAGAAGCCAGGAGCAGGACAUCAAAGAACAGGCAAGGAUUCUGCGCAAAAAAGUACAAAGCGAGGUUCAGGAAAACCUCCCAACCUACUGUGAGUUAGUAAAACUCCAGAAGCGCUAUGAUAAUGUUAUGGAUCCUGGAAAAUAUUCCAUAUUGGGAGGGGUAAGGCCAGAAAAGAAGAUUAUCAGCCAGGACUACAGGGAUGCCAUCGCACCUAUGACGGAAACCGACUAUAUCAUUGCCCAGCUUUACGACCUUGGUUAUGUUGCCACAUACAAAGAUGUAAGAAACACCAUAUUGUCUGGAAGGUACGCUGUGGAAGCCGACCACAUCAUACCAAAGGACACAUUAAGGAAGGCACUAGUACACCGUGACUUGGAAAAACUCAAGAGUAAGAAUUCACAACUUUAUGCUCUAGUAACAAGUAUUCAAUCGGACCCAAAUGGAAGAUGCCACCUUGUCAUGCAGGUUCUCUACCAACAUCACCGCACUGCCUUGACAACUGGCAAUUGCAUGGAGGCCAAACUGUGCAGGGCACUGCUGGCUGACACACUCGUAAGUGGGAAUGCUGAGAAGAUGCUGAAGCAGGCCAUGAUUAUGGCCAAUCCUGUGUCCUCCCAGAAGCUUAGGGAUUAUGCAGGUAUCGACAUCACAAGCUUGUCUACUGCUGUCCAUUCCCUACUGCUCUGUUUAUUCCAUGUUGCUCCAUGCAUUCCCCACUGCUUAAUCCAUUCCCCACUGCUCUAUUCACUCUCUUAUUCAACAUCCAUUCUCUACUCCAGUGCUCUUUAAUUCUAUGUAACUGCUUAAAUUUGGAUGAGUAUUUUUAUUCAGAGGACUUACCAGUUUAUUGUACAUGUUUACCCUACACCUAGGCCUCAGAAACCGCUCGUCCAUUGGAAAACAUCAAGACUUUUCAGAAAAUGGGACGAACUGCUACUACAAAGCUGGGUUCAUGAAUGUGUUCAGUGAGUAUCUGAAAAUUGGCAUCAUUGACCAGAACCAGCAUACGAGGCUAAAGUCAUGGGCCAAAGAAAACAGGCACCAGGACACAAACACAGAGGAGUUUAGAGAGAUACAAAGAAUAGUCGAAGGACAACAAGGUGAGAAAUCGAGGAAACGGGUGAGAGGAAACAUGCUCGGACCACAGACACAUCAAAGCCCCUGACAAAGUGGGAACAUUCUCUCUCCCUGUAUCCUAUAGUCAUUUACACAGAAUUUAGAUCAUGCAUUUAAUUAUGUUUGUAAAGGAAAAUAAUGUAGACAUCAGCUGUAUAUUGAUGACCAAUGUAGGGUCUUUGUAAGCCCGAAUGUCACAUGCUGGAGAAUGGUGAAUGAUUUCUUAUGUUUCUUCAUGAGGGACUUGGUUUUCUAUCUGUUACAUAAAAAAGGAAAAGACCCGACUCUCUGUUCAAGUCAUAGGCCUCUCUCCCUCAUCAAUAUUGACAUGAAAUUGUACGCCAAGGUUCUAGCCAAACACCUUGAAACUAUUUUGCAAAAACUAGUUCAUCCUGGUUUGUCAAAUAUCGAUUGGCGUCAGACAAUUGGAGACGUCUCCUACGUAUAAUACAAAUUACACCUGAUAUACCAUCCUCCUGUGCAGUCCUGUCAAUUGAUGCAGAGAUGGCCUUUGACUGUCUCGGGUUGGGUCUACCUCUGGUAAACUAUGGAACAUAUGGGAUUUGUUUAUGACUAUGUUGAAGACACUGUAUAGUAACCCCUCUUUAAUGGUCUUGAGAGUGUGAUGGAAAUGUGAUACAUUUGCUUUUCUUAUAACUAAUUUCUGUGUUCUAUUCAUGUGCUGUUCUAUAAACCAAUUUCUGUGUUCAUGCAAGUGACUGACUGAACGAACCCUCACUAUCAGUAACUGCAAUUUAGCAGUACGUCCAGACCUUGUUUUGAGAAUGAAAGACGUCUCAGCUUAGAGAGAAGAAGCCUCGUGAGGUAUUCGUUAUGAACCAGUAUUGGUCGGUCAUGUGAAUGAAACAAAACACAAAUAAUUAAUUAAUUAUGCUAAAUCAUGCAAAUGUAACUUGUAUGUGUAUAGCCGUAUAUAAGACAACUGCUGGGACAGCCCAGGCAGAGCUUCUGACCGACGUUCACAAUGGUAUGCUGACAAAUAAACAUUGAUUAAUUUAAGAUUUACUUCGAGGGUCCCUGUGUAAAAUUCCACAACAAUGUGUAACCAGUGCUCCUCAGUUUUCCAUCAAACGGUGAUCUCAUCAAGGCUGUCCAGUGUCCAGUCUCCUAUUUGCCAUAUCACUGGCACCUUUUGGAAGAAAUAAAAAUGUCAAUCCUACUUCAAUCGAGUACAGGCUUAACUGAAUGACAGAGACAAAAUGCAAUCUAGAAUUUUAUUGAAUUGUUUGGGGUAGACCUCAUCUCUGAGGAAUGCUCCUUGGCAUCAGAUGCUGAUGACAGGUUACCUUAUGCUAGGGCAGUUGGCAUCAAAACCCCCCAAAAAUAAAUACGUUACUCACCAGGGAGAAGGGACACAUGGAGCAAUGGUUGGAUAUUAAGACACUGGUAAAUAGAUGUAAAAGAGAUGCAUGCAAAGACUAGAACAAAAGUGCAAUUAUACUGUAUACUGUAAUGUAAAGUAUUAUAUGAAAUGUUUGUUAAUUACAUCUAACCAACCACACAUGAUGUAAUGCAAUAUGUAUGAUUAACGUGAAACUACAGCUGAGCUUUGAACCCAAUAGUGCAGAUCUUCAACCAAAACAUAAUAUUAGAUAAAAUAAAUCUGAAUGAACAAAUAAAACAACAAUUACAUAUUUAAUUUAUUUCAUAAACAAAGUUAUGCAACACCUAAUGCCCCUGUGUGAAAAAGUAAUUGCCCCCUUACACUCAAAAACUGGUUGUGCCACCUUUAGCUGCAAUGACUGCAACCAAAUGCUUCCUGUAGUUGUUGAUCAGUCUCUUGUGUCGCUGUGGAGGUAUUUUGGCCCAUUCUUCCAUGCAUAAUUGCUUUAACUCAGUGACAUUUGUGGCUAUUCAAGCAUGAACUGCUCGUUUCAAGUCCUGCCACAACAUCUAAAUUGGGAUUAGGUCUGGUCUUUGACUUGGUCAUUCCAAAACGUCAAAUUUGUUGCUUUUUGACCAUUUUCAUGUAGACUUGAUUGUGUGUUUUGGAUCACUGUUUUGCUGCAUGACACAGCUGCGCUUCAGCUCACAGAUGGAUGGCCUGACAUUCUCCUGUAGAAUUCAUGGUUCCUUCUAUUAAGGCAAGUUGUUCAGGUCCUGAGGCAGCAAAGCAUCCCCAAACCAUCAUACUACCACAACCAUGCUUGACCGUUGGUAUGAGGUUCUUACUGUAAAAUACAGUGUUUGGUUUUUGCCAGACAUAAUGGGACCCAUGUCCAAAAAGUUAUGUCCAUAGAACAUUCUUCCAAGGUGCUUCCAAGUGUUUUUCCACUCAAUUGUCCAGUGUUGGUGAUCGCGUGCCACUGGAGCCGCAAUAGCCCAUCCGUGACAAGGACCGGCGAGUUGUGUGUUCCGAGAUGCCGUUCUGCACACAACUAUUGUAUUGCGCUGUUUUUGCCUGUUUGUGGCCCACCUGUUAGCUUGCACAAUUCUUGCCAUUCUCCUUUGACCUCAUCAACUAGUUGUUUUCGCCCACAGGACUGCCGCUGACUGGAUGGAUUUUGUUCAUCGCAGAAUUCUCGGUAAACCCUAGACACUGUCUUGCAUGAAAAGACCAGGAAGCAGGACGUUUCUGAGGUACUGGAACCGGCGCGCAUGGCACCGAUGAUGAUGAGGAUACCAUACUUAUGUUGGUUAGGUCAUUAGUUUUGCCCAUUCUAAGAUUCAAUCAAACAGUAACUGAAUGCCUUGAUGCCUGUCUUCCUGCUUUAUAUAGCAAGCCAACGCCAUGUGACUCACUGUCUUUAGGAGCUAACCAUUUUCUUGAACCAGGUGGUGUACCUAAUAAACUGACAAAGAGGCCUCCCAC